AGCAAAUUGGAGGAACAAAAGCCCCAAAAAGGUGGCUGCCAAAGGGGGUAGGGGGGGGUUGUGCCGCGAAGAGGGAUGACCACUCAAUAUGCGGCGAAUGAUUAAUGAACAUAUCGAAAGCCGAAACAAAGUUCCUACAUAAUGAACCCCAAAGAAUGGAAUAGGAGGACCCAUUGGCCAUGGGAAAGCCACAGAAAUCCACAGAAGAGGAGAACUGACUAACUGGGUCGGGCAGCCCAGGGAAAGGGGGAAAAGGUGGGUAUAAAGAGUGAGGCUUACGAAUCGGAGAGCAAAACAAAAAGCAAAGAAAGCGUCCAUCGUGUCGGUUCCAGCAGUCUCUAUAUAGACGAAGGAUCUAUACAAAAUUGGAUCCGAGAGAGUCCGCGACAGAGAACGUGUAGGGCAGAAAGAACGCGAAGUAAAUUAAAAUAUUACAUCGUUGACCCUGAACCUCGUCGAGCGCAUGGCAUGGCCAGGCAUGUGUGAAGCUAAGCCACACUGGUUCAAACACAAUUUGCUUUAGGAAUGCAAAUAUACAUCCAAACGAGCACCUACGAGUAUACUUAUAAGAAGAGACGCUCUGGUGGCGAUUCGAAGUCCUUUUCCCCGAAUGUGGUCCCAUCUGUCUGUGCGGAUCUGUCGUUCGAAUCAUAUUAGCAUUGAGUCUUACUUCAACUAGAGUGCCAAUCGAUUAUAUAUAUGACAGAAUAUAGUUUCCCAAUUACAGCAAUGUAUCUAUAUCUUACAAUUGGACAGCUCCUGGUGGCGCCUGUGGCGGGUCUUGUGCCACAGGGAUUCACGGUGCGGCAACUCCAAUCACACAGCCAAAUGCAUAUAUCUGGUGGAUCCGGGUCCCUGCAAAGAUUGGGUCAAGGUCUGGGGCUUUGACUAUCUGACAAAUCGCUGCAUAUUCUACUA
Molecule: RNA transcript, 918 nt
Organism: Drosophila miranda
Lineage: Eukaryota; Metazoa; Arthropoda; Insecta; Diptera; Drosophilidae
Gene name: kunitz-type serine protease inhibitor textilinin-5
Exons: 2
Source: RefSeq, a predicted model, not a curated record